GCCUGGCUGGCUCAAUUGGUAGAGCAUCUGACUCUCGAUCUCAAGGUCAUGAGUUAGAGACCCAUAUUAGGCA
This 73-nucleotide transfer RNA is filed under the name Ailuropoda melanoleuca (giant panda). It matches the Rfam family "tRNA". Rfam says of the family: Transfer RNA (tRNA) molecules are approximately 80 nucleotides in length. Their secondary structure includes four short double-helical elements and three loops (D, anti-codon, and T loops). Further hydrogen bonds mediate the characteristic L-shaped molecular structure. tRNAs have two regions of fundamental functional importance: the anti-codon, which is responsible for specific mRNA codon recognition, and the 3' end, to which the tRNAs corresponding amino acid is attached (by aminoacyl-tRNA synthetases). tRNAs cope with the degeneracy of the genetic code in two manners: having more than one tRNA (with a specific anti-codon) for a particular amino acid; and 'wobble' base-pairing, i.e. permitting non-standard base-pairing at the 3rd anti-codon position. The record is from Rfam by way of RNAcentral. Lineage: Eukaryota; Metazoa; Chordata; Mammalia; Carnivora; Ursidae.